UGGUUCUUCACUGAAGGCAAGACAGACCCAUAAGCAACCAAUUCUAAUGCUAAGGUCCAAGCGCAGAAGUGGAAGUGUGUGUGAGGUUCCGUGUGAGCACAGAAGUGAGAGGGCUAAUUCUGCUUGUGAGACUUACAGGGGAUUCACAACCUCUGGAGGAGGCUUUGCCAGGCAGAGAAGAGAAAAGAAGAUAUUUGAAGUCAAACAAGCAGUUUAUUCACUGGCUUGGAGGGGGAAAUUUGGACAUAGACAUGCACACAGAGAGAACGCCGUAUGAAGAUGAAGGCAGAGAUCGAGGUGGUGCUUCUACCAGCCAAGGACCACAAAGAUAGCCAGCAGAUGAGCAGCUCGGAGAGAAACAUGGAACAGAUUCUCCCUCCCAGCCCUCAGAAGGAACCAACCCUGUGGACACCGUGACUUUGGACUUCUAGCCUCCAAAACUGUAAAUCGAAGACUGGUGCGGAGGGAGAAGACCUUGAGAUUUCCAUCAGAUCAUUUGCAGAUUCUAGACAACAGUCCACCCCCAGCGCCUUGCACUCCGGCUCUUUGAAGAACUGGAGAGAACACGCUUCCCUGGCAGGCCACUCUCCCCUGUAAGCAGCCUUGAUAGUUAAUCAUUAGGUUUCUCUGCGAUGGAGGAAGCUUUGUGUUCUUUCGG
RNAcentral lists this long non-coding RNA (658 nucleotides) under Equus asinus (donkey). RNAcentral's name for it is "lncRNA (ENSEASG00005026552.1)". Lineage: Eukaryota; Metazoa; Chordata; Mammalia; Perissodactyla; Equidae. The record is from RNAcentral.